Molecule: ribosomal RNA, 486 nt
Filed under: uncultured bacterium
Lineage: Bacteria
Description: SSU rRNA
Rfam family: Bacterial small subunit ribosomal RNA
Source: RNAcentral
GACGAACGCUGGCGGCAUGCUUAAUACAUGCAAGUCGAACGCUGAAGCAUUUUGCUUGCAGAGUGCGGAUGAGUGGCGAACGGGUGAGUAACACGUGGGAAUCUGCCUAUAAGUGGGGGAUAACAUUCGGAAACGGAUGCUAAUACCGCAUAUAUUCUCGAACCGCAUGGUUCUUGAAAGAAAGACGGCUUUGCCGUCGCUUAUAGAUGAUCCCGCGGCGUAUUAGUUAGUUGGUGGGGUAAAGGCCUACCAAGACAAUGAUACGUAGCCGACCUGAGAGGGUGAUCGGCCACACUGGGACUGAGACACGGCCCAGACUCCUACGGGAGGCAGCAGUAGGGAAUCUUCCACAAUGGGCGAAAGCCUGAUGGAGCAAUGCCGCGUGAAUGAAGAAGGUCUUCGGAUCGUAAAGUUCUGUUAUUAGAGAAGAACAAGUCAAGGAGUAACUGUCUUGGCUUUGACGGUACCUAACCAGAAAGUCACGGC